This 2278-nucleotide long non-coding RNA is filed under the name Onthophagus taurus. RNAcentral describes it as "uncharacterized LOC111414295". Lineage: Eukaryota; Metazoa; Arthropoda; Insecta; Coleoptera; Scarabaeidae. The record is from RNAcentral.
UUUUUUGCUAAAAUUAUUAAAUUUCACGAAAAAAGAAACUUAAUGGAACCUAAAAACCCAUCAUAACGCGUUUUUGAAGCUCCAAAGUGUUUAUUAGUUAUUUUAUGCUCUACGAAGAGAUUUUUCGUCCUAAAUCAAUAUGUAAAGUUUCAAUCGAAAGAACUAACCUAACAUUUUUCCGUCAAUUUAAAAUUUUAUGAUUUUAAAAUAUCCGGAUAAUUUAUUAAAAUAGAAAGAUGGACUUUACUUUUACAGAGUUGCUCACCCCAUCUAUCGGUAAUCACCUAAAUUAAAAUUAAUGUUUGACAUAUUAAAAUCAGCUGUUACAUUUCUUCCUAAUAUUAUUAAUUUUUAUGAGGAAAGAAACUUAAUAGAACAUAAGAACACAUUGUAACACAUCUAUGGAGAUCCAAACUGUUCAUUUAAAGUGAUUUUAUGGUCCACGAAGAGAUUUUUCGCCCUAAAUCAAUCUGUGAAGUUUCCAGCCUAACUUUUCUCCGUCAAUUUAAAAUUUUUGGGAUUUAAAAGAAAAGGAUAUUAUUAAAUUUUAUGAAGAACCGACCAGCCAACUCGACGUAUUGUCUUCGAUUUGACACAUAGGAUGGCAGAAGUCGUGUAAGAGAAUAAUCACACCCAAACCUCUCCAACUUUUCCGUCCACAAGAAUAGGUCUAUAGGUCCACGGCGAUCUAGUGCCCUAGAUACGUUUGCCGAAACCAUGUUGAUGUUUAGACAUUCGCGCUUUGGUGUGGAAUUCCAUCUUGUAUGCCACGAUUUGUUCAAACAGCUUCGCGAAGUUAUUUAUAAUGGCUAUUGGCCGAUAGUUCAUCACACAGCACCUAUCACCCUUUUUAAAAACAGGACGAAUUCUGCUCAAUUUCCAGGAUUCCGGAAAUUUAGAGUUCCUUACAAUUAGAUUGAAAAUAUGUUGUUGCAGUGGUCGCAGAAAUGCAGGUGCACAGUCUUUAACUAUAAAUGCAGGAAUGCCAUCUGGCCCGGUUGUAUUUUUUGCCUUAAAUCUAUUGAAGGAUUCCACCAUUUCGCCAUAGCUAAUUUCAGAGAUACCGAAAGAAACCCCAGUCAUAACAGGAUUGAUACUGUACAUAGUUUCGAAAUGGUCAGCAAAUAAAUUCACUAUAGUAGGUAAAUCGGUUAUGGUUUUACCAUUCCAUUUCAGAACACUUGGGGAGUUCGAGUUGUUUCUACUCAUGUUAACAAAGUGCCAAAAAUUUUUAGGAUUGUCUUUUAUAUAUCUCUCCAAAAAUCCUAUAUAUAUAUAAAUUUAUAAUUAAAAUUAAUUUAAUUGUGUUAUAUAAAAACUCUUUCCCAUUCUCUAUUUAAGAUUAUGUUAAUUUCGUGAAAGGUAGAACUGGUUAGUAUUAAACGCAAAAAAAAGAUGUAAACGUUAGCUGGUUAUCUGACUGUUUCAUCUGUAUACAAACGGUCAGCACGAUCUAUCAUACUCGACGAGGGUGGCCAUCUAACGCUCUCAUCUGAGCAUCUUGAAACUAAACGGCAAUCAAAACAGUCGUGGCGAGGUGUCCGAGGUUGUUUCUUGUACGCGUUCCGGCGUGUACUUACACGGAAAGGUCACGUUCAAACUGGUUACUAAACGAUACUCGCUCAUCCAUCAUAACAACGGAGUCGAGAAAUACCAAUAACGAGCGUCACAACGCCGUGGAACGAUUUUUAAGUUUUAGAUUGUUGAGUACGAUGAGAAAGUGGUGUUGGAAACUUUUUGGGCCACCUGGAGACGUAAAUAUGACGAGGUCAGGCGGUACAGGAUGGUCUUCUUCUGGCCGGGCUCCAACUUAUUACCACUUGAAGUCGACCGCGCCUAAUUAAAAACUCUGCGUUUCCGAACUCCGAGUUGAUUUAUUAAAGGAGGCAAAGUUAAUUGGAUUACUGAAACCGCACGGAGUGUAUUCGAAUUCUGACACUAAUAAAUAUUAAAAAAAUAACAAACGGAAUAUUUUUCCCCCUUCAUUAAGUUCUUGGGGAUCAAUUCGAGGGGGUUUUAUGUAAAUGGUAUUAAUGCAUGUGCUUUAAUCGGGGACUAUUAAUUCAAACCUUAUCAGAUCACAACCCCCGAUUACUAUUAGAUUUUAAUUACCCUCCCAACUCAACUACCGGGAGGUAAUUUAUUUUUUUGUUUCAUAAAUUCCUAGAAGUUUUUGCUCGUUCAAAACAAGGAAAUGCACUAUGGGGGGUUGCAAAACUUACGUAAGAAAUAAAAGUGGAUUUGUUUGUUGAACGUGAAUCCGAACUGGUAUGGUAUU